Molecule: long non-coding RNA, 10196 nt
Organism: Grus americana (Whooping crane)
Lineage: Eukaryota; Metazoa; Chordata; Aves; Gruiformes; Gruidae
Exons: 6
Source: RefSeq, a predicted model, not a curated record
CGCGGCGCGAAGAUGGCGGCACCGUAGAGGGAGCUCCCGCGCGUGGCGCCGGGGGGCGCCGGGGCCUACAUAACGGCAGUGGUGGGGCCAGCGCGGCCCCGGGAGCGGGGAGAGGCCGGGGGGCGAGAGAGACCAGCGCUGGCAGAGUGCGCUUGGGCUCCGUCCGGCUGUGCUCGUCUCGGCAGGGCUCCUGUCCCCGGUACUGACUCGGGCAUGUCACCUCCAGGACAGUCACCUGCUGUCAUCGCCGGCCUCAGCCACGGGGCACGGCCCCCAUGGACCCACCACCUCCUGGAGGAGCCUGUGGUGGGACCCUCGGGGGACGCAGACAGCGUUACGGGUUCUGCAGCGGAGCAGCUGUGACCCUGCCCUGUGCUUCGAUAGAGCUGUGACCUGCCGGGCGGGCAGCGGCUGGGGUUGGCAUGCCCGGGCUGUCCUGCAGCUCCGCAGCUGAAUACCCCGUCAAAAUCCUCUGGAGCUGAGGCUGUGGCCUUCAGAUCCUGCGCCACGCCAGCGCUUGUGACCCCGUCCUGCCUGCUGCCGCAUCCCAGCCUGAGGAAUUGAUUCAUAACCGACUGGGGGACAUCAGGGACGUACCAGGCCGCAAUCAGUUUGACGCAGAGCGCCACGUGCUGCAGAGAGCAAAGGGAGCCGCCGCGGGCAGUGAGGAGCUCCCCGGCCGGUUAACCUGGCCCGUGCGAGUGGCACGGACCCAGCCCGUUUCCCCUUGCCGCCAUGCUCCCCGAUUGCCCCAGCCUCCUCCUGCCUCCCCGGGCGCUCACCUCAAAGAGGAUGAGGAAGGCAAGCCGGGUCGCGAAGAUGUGCCAGAACUGGACGGUGUAGCUGUAGUCGUCGGCGUUCCUGUAAUCCUGGUACCUGCGGCACAGCCCCGUCGGUGCCAGCCCGGGCUUCCCCCAGGCCAGACAUCGCGCCCUGCCUUGGCCCCAUCCCUGGGGGUCCGAGAGCAGCCCCGGCGCCUUCCUCCACACGGCUGCCUCCAAGCCCGGCUCUCCCACCUGCCCGUUCCCCAGCUGCAGGCUGGAUGUCACGGUGAGGGGCUCGGAAUGGGGGUAUGCUACUGAGCAACGGCCACGGGCUGCUGUUACCUGCACUCCUUGAUCUCAUCUGUGACAAAGUCCAGCAGCGUUUCGGACACCUUUGUGUGCGGCUCGAAGUCCUGGAUGCGGAAGACGGAGAGGCUGUGGUUGAUGUACCCGGUCGAGCAGCUGCGGGGGGAAAGAGCGUGUCUGCGCAGGGGCUGUACGUGUACUUGUAGACCAGCAUGGGAAUGAAGUCGGACGUGAUGGCGAUCACCAGUCCGUUCCCGAUGACAGCCAGGAUGCCGAUGGCCUCCAGGACCUGCAGCCAGAUUCCUGCGGGAGAGCGGCGGUCGGUGAGGCCCCUCUGACAGCUCACUGCCGCUGUGCAAGGGUUGCAGACCGAGCCCCAGCCCGGGGACAAGUUUGGCAUGGCCAGAAGAGGUCAAGUAGGAGACCUCCCAGCUGCCCCUCGGCCUCUGCAGGGCCUGAAAUUGCUUCUCGGUCCCAACCCGCAGCUCUCCCUGUGCUCUCCUGCCUCCGCGGUGAAGCGAUACCAGCCCCCGGCGAGGGGCUGCUCGAGGGCCUCACGCUGGGGAGGGGGCUUAACGCCGGCACCGUUCGCACAAGCAGCAGUGCGGGAAGGAGGGUGCUCCUUGGGCCCCAGCUCACCGAUGUCGUUGGCCUUCCUGGGCACCAUGCGCCGGUGCAGCCGCAUCAUCUUGAUGGCAUCCAGGCGGAUCUCGAAGAGGUUGUUGCAGAAGGCCAGCAGCGGGGCGAGGGGGAAGGCAGCGACGAAAAUGGUGGUGAAGCUGUACUGGAUCACUGCGGAGGAGGAAAGUGCCGGGUGCCGGUGUGAAGCCACUGCAGAGGGGACAUCCCACGGGGUCCCAACCGCUGCCUGGGUUUGUCCUGCUUUGUGGCUUGUGUCAGAGGGGCCUCGCGGGGUGAAAGGGGGAGGUAGACCCCACAGGAGAAACCCACCGCUCACAGGGUGCUCGGAGGGGGAUCUGUGGGGUCCCGCAGGGCGCUGGUUGAGCCAGCCAGGCAGAGGGACCACCCUGGGGUUACAGCCAUCACCGUGACACUCCUGGGAGGAGAGGAAGGCCCAGGGCCAGCACAGCUGCCUGCUCUCCCUUGUUUGGGAACAACCUCCUUGGUGUGCCGCAGCUCUUGGAGCUGGGUCUCGGAGCUCUCCCUUGCCUACGUGUGGGCUCCUCAGCAGCAGGCUCUCUCCAGCCAAGGAGGACGCGUGGCUCUGCACCCAGCGCCCCUCCUCGCUUGUCCCCCUGCCUUACAUACCCAUCUCCAGGAACUCAUCAAACAAGCUGAAGACGUUGACCUCGUUGAGUUGAUAGUUGCUCAACCACUGUCUUUUGCAGGGGUCCUCGACCUCCUCCUCCUCCCAUACCAUCAUGCUUCUCUUCUUGGGGCGUUGCUGCUUCUUGCGUUGCUUGUGGGUUAUCCAGCUGCAAGGGGAGGGAGCAAUUUGUACGGUUGCCCACAGAGGACAGCGGGGCUGAACUGCUGCCAGUGACAGCCCUGGAGACCUCGGGAAGGAAAAGGAGGAAAUCUUGGCCCAAAGACCAGGGUCUGUAAGAGCUGCGAAGCUGUCCUGAACGUGCAGGAGCACCAGGGAGCUGCUCCUCGGGCUGGAGGAAAGCUUACGGGAUGAGAUACUCUAUCACGUUGCUGAUGGUCUGCUUGAGCAGCAUGAUGAUGGCCAUCUGGAUGCAGAGGUCAGUGAUGCAGCCGCUGGGGUGGCACUGCGAAGGGACGAGAGGAGAGGAGUUGUGCCUUGCAAGCGGGGUGGCCCAGCCUCGGGGGCUGCGUGGUCGAGGCAGGCACUUUGUGGGGGAAGCCGAGGUUCCCAGAGCCUUGCUGGGCAGUAUGGAAAGGAAGAGUAGGAGAUGUGGCGUGGGGCCAGAGAGCUUCAUGGCAAGUCCCUCACCUCCUCCAGCCUCCACUUGCCAGCAAUGCGCACAUAGUUCCCUGGGCGGCCGUUGAUCCUGAGCAAGGAAGCAACAAGAGCGUUAUCUGUUGGGCCCCGUUGGAUGAUCAUCCAGGUGCAGGAUGGAGGGCAUCAUUCUCCGGGCACCGGUGGAGAGGCAAGGGGUUUCGCCCACCCACCAUGCCCACGGGGAAAAGUCAUCGCACUGCUGAGGUCCCAACUGAGGUCUCUGUGCCUGGUGGGGAGGGCGGAGGGACUGGGCUGUCCCAGGACCCUGGGGAGAGUUGGGGAUGUAUGCCCCAAGCCCAGGUCCCCUCUGCUCCCCCCUGGCCUCCAGCCACCACUCACCGUCCCAGGAAAAAGGCGAUGUAGAUGAGUGAAGAGAAGUGUGUGAAGAACUGGAAGGUGAAGAUCUUCACGGUGAAGUUGUUCUCACGAUGGGAGAAGGUCCGUGGUUUCUCUGGGGAAGGGAGCAAGGCCCAGGGGCUUGGUCACAGAGCGGUGGGACCUUGCCCUGCUCCCCCUUGGAUGCCACAGCAGCUCUUUGAAGGUUGGAAGGGUGUCUCUGCCCCUCGUGGAGCCUUCCCCUGAGCCCUUUGAUGGAGCUGAGCCCGGCUAAGCAGGGAGGUCCCUCAGAGCCAUGAGCUGGGGGAAAAGGGGCCCUUCAGCUGGGGAGGAAACCGUGUUGUGAGCUCUCCGGCAGCUGUGGUGGCCUCCCGCUCGUGCCGGGUCUCAGCCCCGCAGGGUGACUGCCCCUCCAAAGCGUAAUGUGGCUGGGGGCCACAGAUGAGCUUGUGUGUGGGAGGGCUGCUGGCCUCCCGUGGGGACCUGCGUGGCAAGAGCUGCCCGGUGAUGGCGGAGGAAGGGAAGGGGCCAGGACCCCGGCUGCAUUUGGGGACCGAGGGGGUGCUGCGCUGCAGUCCCUGGGUACAGCUCGGCGCUGUGAGGUGCGGGCGCAGUUUCCCUUACCCAGGUCACAGAGGUAGAGGGCCACGUGCCUGUUGACCUGCAGGAGAGAGGCAUAAAUGAGAGAGGAGGGUUGAUGGUGGAAAAGCAAGGAGAAGAGCUGCUGCCCGCCCCGUGUCACGCUCCGCACCUUGGUCAUGAUGACAAUGGUGAUGUAGUGCAGCACGGCCCCUGUUAUCACCGCCAUCGUGUUGGCCUGCUCACGGAGGAACUCCAGGUUGCUCUGGGUGAACAGAGCCGUUGCUAUCACCCGGUAAAUGACGAGCGCGUGGGCGAUGCCGAUCUGCACGACAAUCUGCGGAGAAAGGCAACGGGGUGGUGAGAAGCCGUGCAUGGAGGUCAUGUGCUCCAUUCCACCUGAGGACCACCAGCCCUUCAAACCCUGGCUCCCUUCACCAGAGCUCAUCUGGAUGUGGCCUCAAAUGCAAGCCAGUGCUCUUCAGUUAAGGUUGAGAGGUUCAUAAGGUGGAUGUCUCCACCUGAACUACUCAUCUAGACUCUCUCCAUUGGCUCCCGGGGAGAAAUGAGGGCAUCGAGGGUUUGCCUCUUCCUGCCCUCUGCGUUACUGCUUUUAUCCUCACUGCCUUCCACUGCGGGAGCAGAGCCUUCAGCCCAGAUCCCCAGAGGGUGGUUGGCCUCUCCCAUCGGCACAGCGAGGUGUGAGCGUAGGGAGGCCCUGGAUCCUUGUGAUGGGCACGGACCUGCCCUAACAACCUGGUUUCUGCCUUUGCUCCAGCAGUAGGACACUCCGAGGUGCUGGUCUUGUGGCAGAGUAGGGAGGGAAGGAGGAAAGCCCUUAAACCAGAUCUUCCUAUGGUCACCCUGGCACGUACCAUCAACAGAACCAAGAGGAGUACGAUGGUGCUGCGUAAGUAGGAGUGCUGGUACUGCUGGGGUUCGUGCUGCAAAUUGUUGAUCAGCUCCAUAGCCAGCUCCUCCUUAAAAAAAAAAAAAGAAAAAAAAAGUCAGAAAAUGGGAAAGAAAGGAUCCAGCAGAGCUGCGCCCAGGUAGCGGAAGGUCCGGGGGUCAUCGUGUUAAUGGACAUAUGGGAUGAGCAGCGCCAGAGAGGGACAGGGACGAACACCCAACCCGACCCACCACAGCGUGGCUAAUCCCGAUUGAGUUCAAGGCCUUGUGCCCAGAGAGGUGACCAGCAAUGCAGAGAGGUGGCUACCAUCUGCUUGGCUCUCUGGAGGGCUCUGUCUCUGCCAGGACCCUCCCAGGACUGACAGAUGUUGGCUUUGCUGUUUGUUUAGGUGCCUCCAUUAGAUGUUUACAUCUACAGAGAACCAAGCUGGGCGAGGGGUCCCCGUGACGUGUCUUUUCUGUAGGUCCAGCUGACUACUGCCCUGAAAAGGGAAGCACGAAGCAGGAAAGAUGCCGUCCUCACCUCUUCCUCAUCCCACCUGUACAGGUCCCAGUCGGUGACCACGGUGGCUCUCUGCCUCUUCCACAGCUCCAGGAACACGGUGGCUGUGGGGGGGAAGGAGGCAGCGCUGAGGCACUCGGGGAUGGCUCUGGAGACACAGAGCGGGAUGGACAGUCGUGUCCGAACCAGCCCAGGUUGCCCUCGGCCCCGUGACGGACCGGCAGCCGCGUGAGUGGCCCUGGCCAUGCCGCAGCGAGCGCUCGGCCCCAUGUGGGGACGGGGUGGAGGGAUGCGGGUGGGCUGCCGCUGGCAGGCAGGCCAGCUCUCGUGUCAGUAGGGGAUAAGCACCGGGGCCGUUCUGCUGUGGUGGGCACGUCUACGUGGCACCGGCGUGACGCUUGGUUCUGGGUUGAUGAAAAAUACACCUUUCGAGCGGAAUAGGUGUCCCGCACCGCGCCCCAGCGUGGCUGCACCUCUGCAAAUCCAUUUACAGCCACCUCUCCUGUUAAUCCCAUUGACCUUCCUGAGCUCGUCCCCGUGCAAACCAGCCCACAGCGACACGCGAGACCACGUCCGUGUCCUGCUCAGACCACGGUCCCGCAGGCGAAUGGCCCGGCCCGCACCCGCGGUGGUCUUUGUAACUGAACGGGCUGGCGUAAAAGCAAAAGGGGUGGGUAGACAAUGCGGUGACGGGGUCACAUCAGCUCAGAGCCCGGUGGUCUGCCGUGCGUAUUCCCCAGCAGCUAGGAGAGCGUGCAGCAACCUGGGAAGGUCAGUGAGGGAUCUGGCGGUCCCUCCUUCCCGCAGCUGCUGGAAAAGCCCAGCCGGAGCGGCUGGUGGGUGCUCUGCAGGGGGUUGGGGUGCGUGAAGGAGCGACAGCUCUCAGGCAGGACGGGUAAGGAGCGUUUGGGGAGCUGAAGGAAACAGCUGGGGGGAGUUUGUCCCUUCCUUGCCUGGAAGGGGAGCUGAUGUCUCUGGAAGAAGAGGAGGUGAGGACUAAAGGGCCCCUGAACGGUGAAGCUGCGUUGGUGUCCCAUUUUCCUCCGCCCGCUCUCCCCCUAAGCCGCGGUGGGCUGCUCCCUCUUCCGAGCUGCGUGUGCUUGGCACCAAGACGUGGACACCUACCCCAGAUCGCCAUGAACAUGGCAAACACAACUGUCCCCUCGUUGUCAAUCAUGUGAGUGACCUGGAGAAGACCAAGGAAGAGCGUGACGGGGGCAGCGGGGUGCGGGGGCUGCGACACCCGGGGGGGCUGGGGAGAGGCUCAGCGCUCCUCUUGCCACCCUGGUCCCCCCGAGACGGGUAAAGAUGCCGCAGGAGGGCGAAGUGUGGGAAGGGGACGGGCGCUGGGGCUUGUUAGCGGUAAAGUCUUCCUUGGUGGUGAUGGAGACCGUGACCCGGCUACACCUCCUCCGUAUCGCACAGCUUAGCGGAGGUUUCCUGCGUGUUGUGGCCAGGUUGCUGGGGUGGCUUUUCUCUCCAGUGCUGGGGGACCCGCACAAGCUGGGAGCGUGUCCCCGUCCUUUGCCUUGAGCCCGUCCUGGGAAGGGGCUGCCCACCUUGGCAUAGGUGCAGGUGUCGGAGAGCAGCCAGAACGGGCACUUCUGGUCGCAGAGCGGGCACAUGAUGGUGGUGUUGGCUUCGCAGAUCUCCUUGCUAGAGAGAAAGGCGUAGAGGGAAGCAAAGGGGAAUAACGGCGGCUCAAAGCCACGCGCGUAGCAAAGCCUCGUGAACGGGACGCGCGUUCGGCGUUCCCAACUGCCUUACCUCACCUGGCUGGAACUGAAGACGGUAAUCCCAGCCACGAAGACCACCACUCCGGCCAACGCAGCGAAUCCCAGCAGAGGGAGAGCCAAUCUUGCCGAUGCUUCCGUAUGAACGGCCGUGGUCCCACAAGCACUGCUUCUGCCUGUCCGUGGAGGGAGCCCCGAGGGUCUCACUCAAGGGGAGACGCCUGCACGUGGCCAGACUGACGCGUGCCAGUUCUCUGAGGCGACUCGUGGUGCAGCCCCGCAAGCAGUUGUGCCGCUGUUCCCGAGGGCACGGCGACGCGGCACAGGAGCGGGAAGGAGCUGCCAGGGGAUGGGGACGUCGUCAGUCAGCGUUGCCACCAAAGGCGUUGUGACCUGAAACAGCGGCCAGCCAGACAAGUUCAUCCAGCUGUAAUCUCGGGAGCAGAGCGGUGGUGGUGGUGGUGGUGCAACCAUGCCCUGAUGUAAGACCUGGAUCCCAAGCUUUCACUGAAGAAUGAGGCCAUGGGAGCAGGAGAGACCGGGAUGAGGAAAGGGCUGAACGCUCUGCCAGGUCCUCUCGCACGGAGCCGGGCUCCUGGCUUCCCCUGAAGCUUAAAGGGCCGUGGGGAGAGUGACCACCAGAAAGCCAAAGUGAGAAGCCUCGAGCAGAGGGACGUUCUCCCCCAGAGACGCUGUUGCAGUAAGGACCAGCACUUCCCACCAGUAAAAGGUGCCCCAGCGCAGGCCAAGUCGCAGAGGGGGGUUGCGGUGCUGUCCCUUGCUCGCCGAAGCCCCGAGCAGGCUUUGGGCUGGGAGAGCUGGGGUUUGGCUCGGGUGGGUGUCCCGGGUGGGUAAGCACCUCGCUGGUGCAGCAGCUCUCCCCGUCCCCGGCCAAGAGCCCCUCUCUGGGCACGGGGCGGGAGCAGGAGUCGUGCCGGGGCUCUGCCCCACUGCUGAUGCUCUGACACUGGCAUGGGUCUGGGGGUCAGCACCCCUACACGGCAGUCCUGCUGCUGCGGACCCCAACGAGCUCAGGGGGAGGAGAACGGAGCCGCGAGUGCCGCAGCCGCCAUUCCCGGGCAGCUCUCUGCAGGCACGGUCCCCUGCCCAGCGGUCGGAGCAUCCUGCCCAGCACGUCAUUUCCCGGGGAGGAGGCUGAUGGGAUGACCAAGGUACGCUCGCCAACGGGACGUAUCCAGCCGUGGGGCUUGGGCUGGGUAGCCAGGCUGGGAGCUGGCGUAUCGGCAGCCCCAGAUCCCUGCCCGUGCCUCAGAGCCUGCCCCGGGGAGAGCUUGGGGCUGAGCCCGCAGAGCUGCGGCAGAGCAUCCUCCCUCCCGCAGCGCUCCCAGCCAUAACGUUGCCGGUCUCAGGCCGGAUGCGCCAGAUCCUGCCCCUGCUUCUCCACGUGCCUGAAACAGCGAGCACCGAUUUGAAUCCCGGGAGGGACUUGCUGCUUUCUAAUUCCCCAGUCAAGCCCGAAGAAUCGGGGGGGCUGCUCCUCGGCCACCCGUGCGGUGCGGCGCUCUAGGCAAUAGGGAGGUCGUGGUAGCGGGGUCCGGUUUUUCUCUCUGUUCCCAUAGCAACGGGAUUUCCCGCCUGGUACCCGCUCUGCAGGCAGCGCGAGCGCCUCUGCGGAGGGCUGAAAAACGGGGAGGAAUCUGCGAAUUACUUGCAGAUUAGCACGGGCCAUGCGCAGUACCCACCUCGGGAGCGGUAAGGGAUAAAGAUUGCGUUCAGCUGCAGAGGGGGAUUUGCAAGCCCGUGAUGAGGGAAGGGCGGCGUUUCGGCAGGUUUAACUCGUGGCAUCCUCGCGAGGCAGCGGCUGCUUUAAGCCUUGGCCGCUGGGCAGGAGCCCAGCCUGCUUUUGGGGCCAGAUGUGGCUCGUACGCAGGGACAGCUGCAGAAGGCAGGGACUUUGCAUCACUAGUACUCCCACACCUAUUUAUUUUUAUUUUUUUUUUGUGUCCUGGAGGACUAGUGACGCUGUCUGGUCACGGCGGCUUUGCUCUGGCAGCACAAGGCAGCCAGGUCGGCCCCACGUUUGCAGGCAAGGGACCUCGGCUCUGAAGCCGUGGUACGAACCCUGGACUCUAAUCCCUGCUAUCAAGGAGGACGGUGCUCGCUGAGCUCUUUCUGCCCCGUAGCUGGAGCAGAGUUGGAGGCACGCUGUGCAAAGCUGUAGGAGAAGUGCAAGGAGAAGCGUAAUUUCCCCGUUAAAAGGGGGUUGUGUGCCCUGAAGUUGCGUGCCUGGUUCCUCAUCAGAGGCUGCGUAACCCGGUGCCCUGUGCAAGGCUUCUGGGUCCGCCAGAGAAAUGGUGAGAGGCCGCUCGGGCUGGGGGUGCAGUCGCCGGCGUGAGUAACUCGGGCACAGCACCCGGAUAGCAUCUGGCAUCCUUGUUUUCCUUUCUAAUCACGGAUCGGCAAGGGUUUGGGUGGUUCCUGUCACCCACACCAAGAUGAUCGAAUUGCUCUUAUCUCAGGGAUGUUUCUUAUAAACGCUUCCCCUGGAGCACUUCCACUCGCCUCCCAGUUUCCUAAGAAGUGUGAGAACCUCUAAUUGAACGGGCGGAUGGUGCACCUGUACGUUUGCAGGCUGUCCCGAUCUUUGGGAGUUUGCCUGGCUUUUGGGAUAGUGGAAAAACGACGAGAGAAACAAAACCUCGCAGCUCCCCCCUCCCCUUGCUUUAUUUCAGGUGCUCCUGAAGCGCCCGGGGCCGUCCCCUUGCUGCUGCAAGCUGCGCCUUUUCCGGGCUUAUACAAGCGAAAGAUCGGCUCUGGCUCCAAAGCAAACCAUCCUUCCCCGAUCCGUGCUGCGCCCCGGCACCGGCAUCUGGGGCCGUGCGUGACCCCCCGGCCGGAGCCCGCGGUGCGUGGGGCUGCGCUCUCCUCGCUCCCCGGCUGCGGGGACCUGCCGAGCCGGCGGCACCCACCGCUCUCCCCCUCGCGCGUUCACGGUAGGAAUGAGAUUGCUCGCUGGAAGGGGGAACCGGAGCUUUGCAGCACCUUUUGAGUAGUUCAAAGGCUGAAAGCACACAAGUGGUAGCGAUCGGAGCUUAGAGCGUCCCGUGUCUCCAAGCUGCAGGUGGCUCAAGCAACCUCUUGGAAAUAGCUGAGCAGUUUCUGUCUCCUACCUGCAUGGC